GAGAAAGCAGCUUGCCGGAGAACACGUGAAUGGCUCCAUGUGGUCUGCAAGUCAGUGGCUGCUGCUUCUGUCCCCUGCUGCUGCUUGCCUGGGAGAGAAAAACUUCCAGAGCAUUAAACAAAGGGAUGUACUGGUAUUUUCUAGUUUCUGGAAUUUUGUGUUGGUAAACAGCCAAUAAUUAUCUCUCCUAUUGCAUCUUCAAACAUUUCACAAGGUACAAGUCUGGAACUGAGGCAGGACCGCAUGGCUGACCCUUAAGUACCCCCAGGGCGUGGCUAAGGGGCGUGCUGCGCAUGCAUGAGGUUCAUUUCUCCCCAGUCGUCGUGGAGUGAGGAGCUCGUCCAUGCUGCUCCCGGGUGAAGGCCCCAAUCUUCCGGAUGGGCCUUCAGUUCCUCUCCGGUCGGCCUUGUCUGCUCGGGAUCGUCGUGGAUCGUCGCCUGGAGUCUCGGGAAGCGGUGAGGAUCGCCGGUAGACGCUGGGAGUCCCGCUGGGGCCGCGAAUGGUCCCGGAUGGCCCGGUCUCGUGCGGAUGCCGCCUGUGGGUGUCGGGCCGAGCCCCCUGCCCGCCGAUGGACGUCCCCUGCCUGCGGAUGGCCUCGCGGUCCAUGGAUCUGGUCCCGGUCGUCAGUCCGGUACAAGUCUGGAACUGAGGCAGGACCGCAUGGCUGACCCUUAAGUACCCCCAGGGCGUGGCUAAGGUAAGGAGGGGUUAUUGGGUUAGGGUGGACCUUGGGGGCUGGCUUGUCCAGCCCCCCUGCUUCUAGCUCUGGGUCAGAGGCAAGGCAUUUAUUCAUGACAGUUAACUCUAAUAAUCCAUGGUUUGCUACAUUUCCUACAGUUUAAAGUAUUGUGAAUAACUUUUUUCCAUCUUGUGUUUCCUUAUGCUUAUAUGCAAAAGUUAGCCAUCCCUGGUUGUAUUGUGUGUUUCAGGGAAUCUCUAAAGCAGGGGUAUCAAACUCAUGUCAUGGCGGCAUCACAUGAUGUAUCAGGACUUUUUUCCCCUUCGCUAAACUGGGCGUGGGCAUGGCCAGCACGUGAUGCAUCCUGCCCAUGGGCUGGGAAGUUGACAACCCUGCUCUAAAGAAACAGAGACUGAUAAAGUUUAAAUGGACAAAAUUAAAUACAACACAUUUUCACAAAUGUGAUUUUUCAGUAAUAUUCACAUUUGGAAACUAUUCCCAAAACUUUAUCUUUCUUCAUGGCUGAUCUGAAGGUAUGUUUUAGAUGGUUGUGGAAAUAUUUAGCAUCAUUUUUUUCAGAUUAUGGACUUAAACUUCUAGGAUAUGUUUAUAUUUAGCUGAAUCCAUUCUUCUUUCUACCCUCCAAUAUUUCUUAUACUACGCAUGACUACAAAAUCCCAAAACAUAAUACUGUAAAGGCAUCUUUGUAAUUAACAGCACUUUCCUGAAGGUCAUUAGGGUUGGGGCCAACUGUAUUCCCACUGAAACAAACAAAACGUUAAAAUGUUAUGAUAUUUAUGUCGUUACUUACCAAGCACAUCUAAAUUAUAUUAAAGUAACCAAAAUAUCUUUACAAUUCCCAAGGCAUGUCACAACUUUUGAGAACCCCUAAUGUAAUGAUGAUGGGCAUUACAUCAAUACUGUGGGUG
Molecule: non-coding RNA, 1608 nt
Organism: Pantherophis guttatus
Lineage: Eukaryota; Metazoa; Chordata; Lepidosauria; Squamata; Colubridae
Source: RefSeq, a predicted model, not a curated record